AGCUGGGCGGUCACAUCUGGAAAUGGAAAGCCGACCUCCCCCUCCUCCUCCACCUCCUCCUCCUCCUCCUCCUUCUCCUCCUCUCACCCAGGAUCACUUCCGAAACCAGUUGGCCUUCAGCCCCUGCCUCGGCCAGAGCCUACUUGUGAAGACAAGGAUGAAGACCUCCAUGAUGAGCCAUCUCCACUUAAUGACUGUCUCACAUUGGCCGGCAACUUGUUCCAGAUGAAAUCUUGCUCUGUCACCCAGGCUGGAGUGCAAUGGCUCGAUCUCGGCUCACUGCAACCUCCACCUUCUGGGUUCAAGCAAUUCUCCUGCCUCAGCCUCCUGAGUAGCUGGGAUUACAGAUGGAGUCUCACUGUGUCCCCAGGCUGGAGUGCAGUGGCGCGAUCUCAACUCACUGCAAGCUCUGCCUCCCGGGUUCACGCCAUUCUCCUGCCUCAGGCUCCCGAGUAGCUGGGACUACAGGCGCCCGCCACCACUCCCGGCUAAUUUUUUUUGUAUUUUCAGUAGAGACGGGAUAUCACCAUGUUAGCCAGGAUGGUCUCGAUCUCCUGACCUCGUGAUCCGCCCUCCUCAGUCUCCCAAAGUAUUAGGAUUACAGGCGUGAGCCACCGCCCCCGGCCCUCAAAGAUUGUUAUGAGUCCUCACAGAUGUCAGAGGACGAUGCUGUGACCUAUAUUUGCAAACGCCCGGAAGACUUAAAGCUAUUGUUUUGCAAAUGCACAGAUAACAAUAAUAACAUGAUGCUGUGGAUGAGCAUGAAAGUUUUUCUCUUACUCCUAAUUAUAAUGUUUUCCCUCUUACUGCUUUGCCCUGCUGAUGGAAUUCAGUAAAGGAAUCUCUACCAGCAGACACUUGGUUUUUACCCUUCCUAGGACCUUUAAUAGAUAUCUUUUUAUUACUAAUCUUUGCUCUUUGCUUGUUUAACCUCCUUGUAAAGUUUGUGUCUUCCAGAUUACAAUAAUUCCAUGUAAAGAUGAUGCUGGCACAAGGCUUUCAACCCAUCCCCUCUUCUGACCCAGAAGAUAAAGACAUCCUACCUUUGAGCCUUUUAGAACAGGUAUCCAGGGAUUUUACCUCUCCAGUGCUAGGCAGGGUCUAUGCCCAUAACAUCAGCAGGAAGCAGUUACAGAAGAUGAACCUCCGCCCUUCUGCAAGCCCCUUAAGAUUAAGGAGGAGUAUAUAAUCUCUGAUGGGGAAAUGAGGUAGGAGACCAGAAGGACUUAUUUUCCAUUCCCAACCCCAUUGAACAGAGCAGGAUCUGGUCAAAACAGGGUGCAGUGGAGAAGCCUGCUGAAACCAGCAGAUGAUGAUGAAAGUGACCUCUAGUUGCCCUCACUGCUUAUGAGCAUAAAGACACUACCACUGGGACCAUGGCCAGUUUACAAAUGUCAUGGCAACACACCUUGGCAAUGGCCUGGAAGUUACUUUAUAUGGUUCUGGAAACUCCCUGCCCCUUUCCCAGAAAGUUCUGAAUAACCUACCUCUUAAUUGGCAUGCAAUUAAAAGUGGCUCUAAAUACAACUAGCUAGUAGCCCACAGGCACAAACUCUGGGCACACUGCCUAUAGGUUAGCCCUGCUCUGCAAGAAGUAGCACCAGUUCAAUAAAAGUUGCUUUCUCUC
RNAcentral lists this long non-coding RNA (1627 nucleotides) under Homo sapiens (human). Its description in RNAcentral is "LINC01138-S2". Lineage: Eukaryota; Metazoa; Chordata; Mammalia; Primates; Hominidae. The record is from RNAcentral.